Molecule: ribosomal RNA, 447 nt
Filed under: uncultured bacterium
Lineage: Bacteria
Description: bacterial SSU rRNA
Rfam family: Bacterial small subunit ribosomal RNA
Source: RNAcentral
UGCCAGACUCCUACGGGAGGCAGCAGUGGGGAAUAUUGCACAAUGGGGGAAACCCUGAUGCAGCGACGCCGCGUGAGUGAAGAAGUCUUUCGGUAUGUAAAGCUCUAUCAGCAGGGAAGAAAAUGACGGUACCUGACUAAGAAGCCCCGGCUAACUACGUGCCAGCAGCCGCGGUAAUACGUAGGGGGCAAGCGUUAUCCGGAUUUACUGGGUGUAAAGGGAGCGUAGACGGCGGUGCAAGCCAGGAGUGAAAGCCCGGGGCCCAACCCCGGGACUGCUCUUGGAACUGCGUGGCUGGAGUGCAGGAGGGGCAGGCGGAAUUCCUGGUGUAGCGGUGAAAUGCGUAGAUAUCAGGAGGAACACCGGUGGCGAAGGCGGCCUGCUGGACUGCAACUGACGUUGAGGCCCGAAAGCGUGGGGAGCAAACAGGAUUAGAUGCCCCUGUAA